ACAGGCUUAACACAUGCAAGUCGAGGGGUAACGUGAGGAAAGCUUGCUUUCCUUGACGACGACCGGCGCACGGGUGAGUAACGCGUAUCCAACCUGCCCAUAACUAAGGGAGUAAGCGGUAGAAAUGCCGCCUAAUACCUUAUGUGGUUCACUGCGGACAUCUAAAGUGAAUUAAAGAUUCAUCGGUUAUGGAUGGGGAUGCGUCUGAUUAGCUUGUUGGCGGGGUAACGGCCCACCAAGGCGACGAUCAGUAGGGGUUCUGAGAGGAAGGUCCCCCACAUUGGAACUGAGACACGGUCCAAACUCCUAGCGGGAGGCAGCAGUGAGGAAUAUUGGUCAAUGGGCGAGAGCCUGAACCAGCCAAGUAGCGUGAGGGAAGACUGCCCUAUGGGUUGUAAACCUCUUUUGUUUGGGAAUAAAGUGGGCCACGUGUGGCCUUUUGCAUGUACCAUUCGAAUAAGGACCGGCUAAUUCCGUGCCAGCAGCCGCGGUAAUACGGAAGGUCCAGGCGUUAUCCGGAUUUAUUGGGUUUAAAGGGAGCGUAGGCCGGAGAUUAAGCGUGUUGUGAAAUGUAGACGCUCAACGUCUGAAUUGCAGCGCGAACUGGUUUCCUUGAGUACGCACAACGUUGGCGGAAUUCGUGGUGUAGCGGUGAAAUGCUUAGAUAUCACGAAGAACUCCGAUUGCGAAGGCAGCUGACGGGAGCGCAACUGACGCUGAAGCUCGAAAGCGCGGGUAUCGAACAGGAUUAGAUACCCUGGUAGUCCGCGCGGUAAACGAUGGAUGCCCGCUGUUUGCAUUUGAUGUAAGCGGCUAAGCGAAAGCGUUAAGCAUCCCACCUGGGGAGUACGCCGGCAACGGUGAAACUCAAAGGAAUUGACGGGGGCCCGCACAAGCGGAGGAACAUGUGGUUUAAUUCGAUGAUACGCGAGGAACCUUACCCGGGCUUGAACUGCCAGCGACGGAUUCAGAGAUGAUGACUCCCUUCGGGGCGCUGGUGGAGGUGCUGCAUGGUUGUCGUCAGCUCGUGCCGUGAGGUGUCGGCUUAAGUGCCAUAACGAGCGCAACCCCUGUCCUUAGUUGCCAUCAGGUUAUGCUGGGCACUCUGGGGAUACUGCCACCGUAAGGUGUGAGGAAGGUGGGGAUGACGUCAAAUCAGCACGGCCCUUACGUCCGGGGCUACACACGUGUUACAAUGGGGGGUACAGAGCGUCGGCCGCCGGCAACGUCGGUCCAAUCGCGAAAGCCUCUCUCAGUUCGGACUGG
This 1266-nucleotide ribosomal RNA is filed under the name uncultured Prevotellaceae bacterium. RNAcentral's name for it is "bacterial SSU rRNA". It matches the Rfam family "Bacterial small subunit ribosomal RNA", at positions 42 to 1301 of the family's 1533-position model. The record is from RNAcentral. Lineage: Bacteria; Pseudomonadati; Bacteroidota; Bacteroidia; Bacteroidales; Prevotellaceae.